Molecule: ribosomal RNA, 497 nt
Filed under: uncultured bacterium
Lineage: Bacteria
Description: partial 16S ribosomal RNA
Rfam family: Bacterial small subunit ribosomal RNA
Source: RNAcentral
GAUGAACGCUGGCGGCGUGCCUAAUACAUGCAAGUCGAGCGGACAGACGAGGAGCUUGCUCCUCUGACGUUAGCGGCGGGCGGGUGAGUAACACGUGGAUAACCUACCUAUAAGACUGGGGUAACUUCGGGAAACCGGAGCUAAUACCGGAUAAUAUAUUGAACCGGAGGGUUCAUUAGAGAAAGAGGGUUUUGCUGUCACUAAUAGAUGGAUCCGCGCCGCAUUAGCUAGUUGGUAAGGUAACGGCUUACCAAGGCUACGAUGCGUAGCCGACCUGAGAGGAUGAUCGGCCACACUGGAACUGAGACACGGUCCAGACUCCUACGGGAGGCAGCAGUGGGGAAUCUUCCGCAAUGGGCGAAAGCCUGACGGAGCAACGCCGCGUGAGUGAUGAAGGUCUUCGGAUCGUAAAACUCUGUUAUUAGGGAAGAACAGAUGUGUAAGUAACUAUGGACGUCUUGACGGUACCUAAACAGAAAGCCACGGCUAACUACGUG